RNAcentral lists this ribosomal RNA (2917 nucleotides) under Klebsiella pneumoniae. RNAcentral describes it as "23S ribosomal RNA". It matches the Rfam family "Bacterial large subunit ribosomal RNA". Lineage: Bacteria; Pseudomonadati; Pseudomonadota; Gammaproteobacteria; Enterobacterales; Enterobacteriaceae. The record is from RNAcentral.
GGGUUGUGAGGUUAAGCGACUAAGCGUACACGGUGGAUGCCCUGGCAGUCAGAGGCGAUGAAGGACGUGCUAAUCUGCGAAAAGCGUCGGUAAGGUGAUAUGAACCGUUAUAGCCGGCGAUGUCCGAAUGGGGAAACCCAGUGCAAUUCGUUGCACUAUCGUUAACUGAAUACAUAGGUUAACGAGGCGAACCGGGGGAACUGAAACAUCUAAGUACCCCGAGGAAAAGAAAUCAACCGAGAUUCCCCCAGUAGCGGCGAGCGAACGGGGAGCAGCCCAGAGUCUGAAUCAGCUUGUGUGUUAGUGGAACGGUCUGGAAAGUCCGACGGUACAGGGUGAUAGUCCCGUACACCAAAAUGCACAGGUUGUGAACUCGAAGAGUAGGGCGGGACACGUGGUAUCCUGUCUGAAUAUGGGGGGACCAUCCUCCAAGGCUAAAUACUCCUGACUGACCGAUAGUGAACCAGUACCGUGAGGGAAAGGCGAAAAGAACCCCGGCGAGGGGAGUGAAAAAGAACCUGAAACCGUGUACGUACAAGCAGUGGGAGCACCUUCGGGUGUGACUGCGUACCUUUGUAUAAUGGGUCAGCGACUUAUAUUCUGUAGCAAGGUUAACCGUAUAGGGAGCCGCAGGGAAACCGAGUCUUAACUGGGCGUUAAGUUGCAGGGUAUAGACCCGAAACCCGGUGAUCUAGCCAUGGGCAGGUUGAAGGUUGGGUAACACUAACUGGAGGACCGAACCGACUAAUGUUGAAAAAUUAGCGGAUGACUUGUGGCUGGGGGUGAAAGGCCAAUCAAACCGGGAGAUAGCUGGUUCUCCCCGAAAGCUAUUUAGGUAGCGCCUCGUGAACUCAUCUUCGGGGGUAGAGCACUGUUUCGGCUAGGGGGUCAUCCCGACUUACCAACCCGAUGCAAACUACGAAUACCGAAGAAUGUUAUCACGGGAGACACACGGCGGGUGCUAACGUCCGUCGUGAAGAGGGAAACAACCCAGACCGCCAGCUAAGGUCCCAAAGUCAUGGUUAAGUGGGAAACGAUGUGGGAAGGCACAGACAGCCAGGAUGUUGGCUUAGAAGCAGCCAUCAUUUAAAGAAAGCGUAAUAGCUCACUGGUCGAGUCGGCCUGCGCGGAAGAUGUAACGGGGCUAAACCAUGCACCGAAGCUGCGGCAGCGACACUAUGUGUUGUUGGGUAGGGGAGCGUUCUGUAAGCCUGCGAAGGUGUGCUGUGAGGCAUGCUGGAGGUAUCAGAAGUGCGAAUGCUGACAUAAGUAACGAUAAAGCGGGUGAAAAGCCCGCUCGCCGGAAGACCAAGGGUUCCUGUCCAACGUUAAUCGGGGCAGGGUGAGUCGACCCUAAGGCGAGGCCGAAAGGCGUAGUCGAUGGGAAACAGGUUAAUAUUCCUGUACUUGGUGUUACUGCGAAGGGGGACGGAGAAGGCUAUGUUAGCCGGGCGACGGUUGUCCCGGUUUAAGCAUGUAGGCUGGUUAUCCAGGCAAAUCCGGAUAAUCAAGGCUGAGGUGUGAUGACGAGGCACUACGGUGCUGAAGUAACAAAUGCCCUGCUUCGGGAAAAGCCUCUAAGCAUCAGGUAACAUCAAAUCGUACCCCAAACCGACACAGGUGGUCAGGUAGAGAAUACCAAGGCGCUUGAGAGAACUCGGGUGAAGGAACUAGGCAAAAUGGUGCCGUAACUUCGGGAGAAGGCACGCUGGUGUGUAGGUGAAGUCCCUGCGGAUGGAGCUGAGACCAGUCGAAGAUACCAGCUGGCUGCAACUGUUUAUUAAAAACACAGCACUGUGCAAACACGAAAGUGGACGUAUACGGUGUGACGCCUGCCCGGUGCCGGAAGGUUAAUUGAUGGGGUUAUCCGUAAGGAGAAGCUCUUGAUCGAAGCCCCGGUAAACGGCGGCCGUAACUAUAACGGUCCUAAGGUAGCGAAAUUCCUUGUCGGGUAAGUUCCGACCUGCACGAAUGGCGUAAUGAUGGCCAGGCUGUCUCCACCCGAGACUCAGUGAAAUUGAACUCGCUGUGAAGAUGCAGUGUACCCGCGGCAAGACGGAAAGACCCCGUGAACCUUUACUAUAGCUUGACACUGAACAUUGAGCCUUGAUGUGUAGGAUAGGUGGGAGGCUUUGAAGCGUGGACGCCAGUCUGCGUGGAGCCAACCUUGAAAUACCACCCUUUAAUGUUUGAUGUUCUAACGUUGGCCCCUUACCGGGGUUGCGGACAGUGUCUGGUGGGUAGUUUGACUGGGGCGGUCUCCUCCCAAAGCGUAACGGAGGAGCACGAAGGUUAGCUAAUCCUGGUCGGACAUCAGGAGGUUAGUGCAAUGGCAUAAGCUAGCUUGACUGCGAGCGUGACGGCGCGAGCAGGUGCGAAAGCAGGUCAUAGUGAUCCGGUGGUUCUGAAUGGAAGGGCCAUCGCUCAACGGAUAAAAGGUACUCCGGGGAUAACAGGCUGAUACCGCCCAAGAGUUCAUAUCGACGGCGGUGUUUGGCACCUCGAUGUCGGCUCAUCACAUCCGGGGCUGAAGUAGGUCCCAAGGGUAUGGCUGUUCGCCAUUUAAAGUGGUACGCGAGCUGGGUUUAGAACGUCGUGAGACAGUUCGGUCCCUAUCUGCCGUGGGCGCUGGAGAAUUGAGGGGGGCUGCUCCUAGUACGAGAGGACCGGAGUGGACGCAUCACUGGUGUUCGGGUUGUCAUGCCAAUGGCACUGCCCGGUAGCUAAAUGCGGAAGAGAUAAGUGCUGAAAGCAUCUAAGCACGAAACUUGCCCCGAGAUGAGUUCUCCCUGAGACUUUAAGUCUCCUGAAGGAACGUUAAAGACGAUGACGUUGAUAGGCCGGGUGUGUAAGCGCAGCGAUGCGUUGAGCUAACCGGUACUAAUGAACCGUGAGGCUUAACCUUACAACGCCGAAG